AGCUGCUGAAUAUGCUGAAAAUAGUAGAGAGCCAUUUCAAAGCUGAAAAAGCUCCGAUUCUUCUUGUCGAUAAGAUCAACAAGAAGAAAGGCAAGAAGGAUUUCAAGAAAAAGUUGAACCCUAAGGCUGGCAUAUCCAAGAAGAAAGCAAAAAAGGUCUAUGCCAAAGAUACUUGCUAUAACUGUGGCAAGGAGGGGCACUAGAACAGAAAUUACAAGGAAUACCUUGCAA
This 231-nucleotide long non-coding RNA is filed under the name Elaeis guineensis (African oil palm). RNAcentral's name for it is "long non-coding RNA (EGUI_LNC061201)". Lineage: Eukaryota; Viridiplantae; Streptophyta; Magnoliopsida; Arecales; Arecaceae. The record is from RNAcentral.